UGCGUAGGCGGUUUGUUAAGUCACUGGUGAAAGUUUUCGGCCCAACCGGAAAAUUGCCUGUGAUACUGGCGAACUUGAGUGCGUGAGGGGUGGGGGGAACGAGCAGUGUAGCGGUGAAAUGCGUAGAUAUUGCUCGGAAGGCCGGAGCCGAAGGGGCCCCACUGGUACGUAACUGACGCUGAGGCACGAAAGCGUGGGGAGCAAACA
RNAcentral lists this ribosomal RNA (207 nucleotides) under uncultured bacterium. Its description in RNAcentral is "partial 16S ribosomal RNA". It matches the Rfam family "Bacterial small subunit ribosomal RNA", at positions 568 to 774 of the family's 1533-position model. The record is from RNAcentral.